Molecule: ribosomal RNA, 253 nt
Filed under: uncultured bacterium
Lineage: Bacteria
Description: partial 16S ribosomal RNA
Rfam family: Bacterial small subunit ribosomal RNA
Source: RNAcentral
UACGUAGGGUGCGAGCGUUGCCCGGAUUUAUUGGGCGUAAAGGGCGCGUAGGCGGUGCCGUACGUCCGUUGUGAAAUCGCUCGGCUCAACUGGGCGGGGUCAGCGGAUACGGUGGCACUUGAGCAAGCUAGGGGGCAAUGGAAUUCCCGGUGUAGUGGUGGAAUGCGUAGAUAUCGGGAGGAACACCAGUGGCGAAGGCGGUUGCCUGGAGCUUUGCUGACGCUGAGGCGCGAAAGCGUGGGGAGCGAUCCGG